GGAAAUUAAUAGAGUAGUUUUUUUUUAUCUAAUUCAUUAUAAAAAUAACGGAAACGAAUUUUUUUUAGGCGUACAAAAAUUUAUAUUUAGUUUUUUAAUCGAAGAGGCCGAUCGAUAACGAAAUUAAAAUAUAACGAGUGGCCGGCACUACGGAAAGUGGAAAAGGAGCCCGAUGACGUCGCGUCGCCAUUCGAAGUUUCGCAACCGCAAUCGUUUCCGUUUCUACAGAACUACUUCGGCCGGGACAAGGUCGUUAAAUUUCUCAGCUAGUGUUUUUGUUUACGCUGGCGAGCGUAUUCUUAAUGGAAAAUUAUACUCGGUUCUUUCUUUUACCGAUAGAUGUCGGCUUUUUCCAACUACAUUCAAUACAGUCGAGAUACGUAAUUAGCUUUAUCGCUAAAAACUUCGAUUUAUUUUUUUUUACCAUAGAUUAUUUAAUAAAUGAUAUUAAAGAAAGUUUAACCGGUUUCCGAUAAUGGAGGAAAACAUUUUCGUCUUUCGUUGAUGAUGUCUGCCAAAAUUAAAGAAACGUGUACCAGUAAUAUAACAAUUCCGCCAUUACAGUCGUAACGUAUAGAUGGCUAGAAUAGAGCAUAAUUUUGACGGUUCGUAGUUCUGUAGCAUCAACGGCGGAUAAAUCAAAUUGUUUAUUGUAUAUAUGUAAACUAGGUAAGGAAAGAAACUACAAUGUAUGGCGCAGUUAACAUUAGAGUGGGGUGGAUUUCACAGCUUGGUCGUAAAACCACGCGGGCGGAAUAGCGAAAUCCUCCUACAUUCUCCAGCUUUACCGGGAGGAGGAGACGAAUAUAGCCGAGAGAGAACGAAGAUGGGUGGAAAAAUUGGUAAAAAUUUGCCUUAACCGCGCGUCGCCAUCCCGAAAUUUGUAUCCGCUGUUUUUUCGGACAUUGUUACAUAACCGUUUGCUGCGCGACCGACAUCGCGCGCGACGCGCGGGCCACAAUAUAAUAGACUGUUUGAGAGUCGACGCGCGCAGCAAUGGCGCAGGUAAGGUAAAUUUUUACCGAAAAUUUUUAACUUUUAUCUGGAUUAUUUAGGGCCCGGGUCUUAUUUAAUAUGGAGGGAAAUUUUAUCACCUUGGCGGACAGAAUGAAUCUUAAAAUCGAAACAAAUAACGAGCGCCAAGUAAGCGAGAUUCCGCCUUUCUAUUUGGGAAGGGUCCAGAAUAUAUACCACGUCAAACUUUUCAGUUAGUCACACGUAUUUUAAGACAGAAUUUUAUCGGCGCUCAAUCCGCGUACAAUUCCGGUAGCGGGGUCGAAGUAAACUCCGGGUGACGGCGAAUUUACGGAAGAGACCGAGAAAAAUAUGGAGACGACCAACCCAGACCGGUUUUUAUCGUCCUCGAUUAAUCCGCGGUAAAUUUAUUGGGUAAGUCAGUCAGGAAGAUCCCAAAGUCAGCAGUUGCACCAGCUUCGUUUCUGUCUUAAAAACAUGACUACAUCAAACCCCACUACCUCCACUCGAUGGCCCAGUAUUUUUAUUGCCCACCGAAUAACUUUUUGUCGCUUUCCACUCGCCUUUUAAAAUAUCUAUAGUUACGGCCGACCAUUGUCAAAAAAUAAAAGUUUUACUCACCGUAGUUACGUAAUAGAUAUUAAAUUUUGUAACCGAGAAGUUAUGGUAUUUUUGACAGAAAAUGUUCAAUAAAUAAACCAGGGGACAGAAAAGGCAAAGAUAGGGAAUAGAAAUUUAGAUCAUUGGCGUAAGGACUUUUUACGGAGGCAGACAAAAAAUUUUAUUCGUUUAUUUUUACGCUAACCGAUACGCGUGUGGGACGAGUUUUCGACGCAGUUAAAACCUCCGUACUUAUCCAAAUUCCUUGAUGCGACAUUUCCUGGGUUCUUCUGUAUCGAGUUCCCAAAUUCGGUAUCGGAUUACUAAUAGCUGUCCGUACUAAUAAUAUAUGGAUUAAAAACAAAUUAUGGCAGCCUGGAGGCCUAUCCACAUUGGUGGCGGCCGAUAUCAGCGGGAAAUUUUGUCCGUCAGCCCUGGCCACAGUGGACUGAUAGGGGGAGGAGCGGAGCGUCAGUCCCUAUCCUAUCCACUGUCUUCCUAUCCUGUCUUAUCGGUGUAAUUUUUCCCGGUAUGCUCCUGUUGGAUUACUAUCCACCAGGAGAUGGGCGGCGGUCGUAUGGCUUAAUAUGCGGGUCCAUCUCGGCACCCAAAUAAGCGCUCUUACUUUUACCAGAUGUCGACAUAAAUUCGGGUGGUCUUCGAUUCCUCGGUCACUCCGAAAUAUUCAAAAAUAUCGGCCUCUCGUCAUUAAACUGAAACACCAUAUACAACGAGAAACGGUGGCCUGGCGGGACUACUUUCCGUCGAAGGAGAAUCGGCGUCUUCGGUUGUAGUUUGGCCCGACCCAGAAAUUUUCUUUUCUAUACUCUACCACGCGACCGGUUUCGAAAGUUUACUUUUGCUUUAAUUAAUUGCGUCGAGUGAUGGGGAAUAUUUUAAAAGUCCAAUUAAGAAUAAACAAUAUUCAUUCGAAUAUAAAAGGGUUUUUCCAUUUCUCUGGGCCUAAAAUAUCCGCGUAUCGCUACCGACUGGAACGUAUCGACGGAUUUUUAAACGGCCACGGCCUUUUUACCUGCCCAGGUGCUAAGGGAACAACGCAUUAGUCAAUCGUUAGCAGUGUCGAACAACGCGCUGCCGACGUUUAGUUUUUGGUUUCGUAACCUUAACGCGCGAAACUGAGGUGGGCGUCGGUGGCAUCCCGGGCAAAAGACGCUCAUGUUUUGGCAUUUAAACCUUAAAAUAUAUAUUUUAUAAAAUGUUAUUCACGGGUGGUUUAUAUUUAUAUCUAUAGAAUGCAUUUGAUUAUUUGUAUCGCGUUUUAUUCACUCACAUAUUCUAUAUGAAUUAUAUAUUUAAUCGAAUACGAUCGAUAAUCGUCGACGAAAUUCAAAUUGAUGGUUUAAUUAGUCAGAAAAAUGAGGCAGUGGCCGUGAAUGCCGUCAGCCACUGCGACUAAAACAUAGAACGUUCCAAAGAAUGCUUGGAGAAGGAGAAUGUGGCGAGAUGUAGAGAUUCUCGAAUUCGAUCGACGCACGAUAUUUUGUAAGAUAGAGGAAGACCAAGUAGACGGACGUUACUCGGGUUUGUUCCGCCACCGAUACAAAUCCGAGUAUCGUCGACUUACGCUGUAGCUCCUUUAAACUUCGAUAAAGAAAACACGUGCGAGGCGAGCGCAAAGUUACGUAAAUUGGUGCGAGACCUCGAUUACUCGCGUUGGUAUCGCGUACCAGGUAGAGAAAAUGGAAGCGAUCCGUGUUUUGUUGGCCACCAUCGUCUCGGCGACGACAGCGAUUAAGAAAACACGUGUACGCGUUUGUCCCCAUAAAUUGUCCUUCUGUCCGUAAUAGGGAGGGGCCAACGGACAUCGCGCAAUAUUUGUUAAAUUAUGUUAUUACACAAUUUUAGUGUUACUGAUAAAAAUAAAUUUUAAGUGCUUCAUUACUUUAAAUCUUAACAAAUAUAAUAAAAAAAAUUACUCUGUUUUUAAUAAAGUACAUUUGAAACACUGUAUUAUGCAUAAUUAGCGUGUCCGUUUGCCCCACAUUUUACCAUAUGUGUGUGUGGGUGUGUACAUAUAUAUAUGAACAUAUAUAUAUUUUAAAACAAUUUUACCCUACCCUACAUUUAUGUUAUUUAUAACAAAAAUACUGUACAUAAGAAGGUAAAUAAUUAUGUAGGUAAGCUCAAUGGGAAGAGCGCUAAGCAAAAUUUCUAACACCAUUCCACGGUAGCUGCCAAACACUCGGAAUAUUUUUAGACGAAAUCAAAAUAUAGUGGUACCGGACCAAUUAUACACCUAACGGGAUAAAUAUUCUAGAGUUUUGGGUCGGGCGACGGCGGAAGAUCCAGACGCGCCUUUAAUGGGCUAAUAAUAGACGCGCCUCUGGCAGCCUUAACCGUACUAGCGGGUUAUUCGAGUAGCGAGCAAAGAUUAAACCCGUCGCACCGUUUCCGCCCCCGGAUCGUCGGUAUUCAAACGGGAGCGGAUGGUCGGGUCGCCCAGUCUAGCCGUACCUGGUUGAGAAAAUUAGGUAGCGGACGGAAGGUAGGUCGGCCGACUUCCGAUCAACAGGUAGCCGAGGCGCUUCGUCCCUGGCCUGGUAGGCCUGCCUGCCCAUUAAGCGGGUUAAUUGUACCAGUGAUGAUUUAAGCCCAGAAGGCGUCCGAAAUAACAGUAGCGGAAUUGCAACGGGCGGGUGGGAUAGAAUCGGAGGCCAGACUUGUUCUUACGCAACUGGUCCCGGAAAUGCUGGCGUGACGGUGGCUAAAAGGCGUCAACGUGGGUAAUAAUCGAUGGGCAAUUGAGGUUUUCAGUCGAAUGGAGAUACCACCAGCGGUCGGGAACGAGUACUGACUAUAAAACUGCGGUAAAUAACAGCCCAACCGGUGGUAAGAGGAAAAUUUAGGCUCUAACAUAGACGAAAUAAUGGCGCCGAUUAACCACCGAGUGGAAGAAAGUUUUCCACCUCCAAGGGAGACGAAAGUCGUCUUUCCAGAACGGAUUAAGGCCAGCAUCGGUUGAGUAUCGGGCUGGGAGAAGGAAACGAAUUCCCAUAGACAGAUUUAAUUAUUGGGACUAAAGUGGAAGAAGGUAGAGACGGCGGUGGGUGGUGUCCACGCCAUCUUACGGAGGCGACGGCGCCGGGAGUUUCGAAAUCGUCCCACUAGAUUAAUAUCGACCCACCCAACGGUGGUAGGUUAGGCAGACGGCGGACCGAGAAGGCAGCCUUAAAAUUUCGCCGUCGCCCGACCCGAGACGGAAACUCACCUGGAAUCGGGCGAAAAGCCUAAUCCGAUCUUAUUAGAACGGGCGGAAGGUGAGCCCGGGAAACACGACUGCGUUAAUAUUUCGUAACGGUGGAAAGAGCGCCAUUGGCUAACUCUUUCUUCGUCAUUGGUCCGUGACUCGGCGCUGAUACUGGCGUCUUUCCCAAUCUUUAGUCACCCGGUCGGCUAAUCACGUGACUGGCGGCGGCUCCAGCUCCGUCGGUAGCGGCCGUAGUAAAGAUGCCCGGGGAAUCGGAGAAAAGUCCAGCCAAAUGUGCGGGCGAUGGUUUUUUUCCUAGUAAAUACGAUUUUUCACCCUUCUAGGUCAAAAGAACCCAUUUUAUUUCGAUCGCGUCCAUACCAGAAUCGAUCAGAAACAUCAAACGAGACGGGACGGUCGCCGUCCGCGCUCACAACUCGAUGUCAACCCUUUUUUACGUUUUGUUAAUUAUCGUCUGAUGGGACUGAUAGUUCCGUCAGCUCUUAUACACCUAUUCUCGCCGUUCCGGGGUCCGAAUAUUUUUAGUCGAUCGGCGGAAAAGGAAAUUUCAUCUAGGCGGAAAGAUUAAACUCGACUAUUAAAUUUUAGUUUAAACGAAGACCGUUAGGUGAUCGACUCGUCCCCGUCAAGGCUAAGUCGCCAUCGUUUCGUCAGACGACCGGUAGUCACUCUACUUUUAAUGGCACGCCACCUUCCGAUCGGGGGUUCUUAACCGGGUUAUACGACUCGAUCUCUGGGUAUUGGUAUUUAUUUUAUUUAAUUUAUUAAUUUAUACUUGGGCAGUGCCGUG
RNAcentral lists this long non-coding RNA (5594 nucleotides) under Androctonus crassicauda. The record is from RNAcentral. Lineage: Eukaryota; Metazoa; Arthropoda; Arachnida; Scorpiones; Buthidae.